Long non-coding RNA from Hippocampus comes (tiger tail seahorse), 173 nucleotides. RefSeq lists it as uncharacterized. Lineage: Eukaryota; Metazoa; Chordata; Actinopteri; Syngnathiformes; Syngnathidae. The transcript has 3 exons. The record is from RefSeq and is a predicted model, not a curated record.
CUGAUCAAACAAUUUCGAAUGCUUUCUCCAAGUCCAUAAAGCACAUGUAGACUGGUUGGGCGAGCUCCCAUGUAUCCUCGAGGACCCUGCGAAGGGUGUAGAGCUGGUCCACUGUUCUACGGCCGGGACUAAAAACACACUGCUCCUCCUGAAUCUGAGACUUGACUUCCCGA